AUUGAACGCUGGCGGCAGGCUUAACACAUGCAAGUCGAGCGGAGAUGAGGUGCUUGCACCUUAUCUUAGCGGCGGACGGGUGAGUAAUGCUUAGGAAUCUGCCUAUUAGUGGGGGACAACAUUCCGAAAGGAAUGCUAAUACCGCAUACGUCCUACGGGAGAAAGCAGGGGAUCUUCGGACCUUGCGCUAAUAGAUGAGCCUCAGUCGGAUUAGCUAGUGGGUGGGGUAAAGGCCUACCAAGGCGACGAUCUGUAACGGGUCUGAGAGGAUGAGCGGCCACACUGGGACUGAGACACGGCCCAGACUCCUACGGGAGGCAGCAGUGGGGAAUAUUGGACAAUGGGGGGAACCCUGAUCCAGCCAUGCCGCGUGUGUGAAGAAGGCCUUAUGGUUGUAAAGCACUUUAAGCGAGGAGGAGGCUACUGAGACUAAUACUCUUGGAUAGUGGACGUUACUCGCAGAAUAAGCACCGGCUAACUCUGUGCCAGCAGCCGCCGUAA
Molecule: ribosomal RNA, 501 nt
Filed under: uncultured bacterium
Lineage: Bacteria
Description: partial 16S ribosomal RNA
Rfam family: Bacterial small subunit ribosomal RNA
Source: RNAcentral